GGAUGGGCAUGCGUAACAUUAGCUAGUUGGUAGGGUAACGGCCUACCAAGGCUACGAUGUUUAGGGGACCUGAGAGGGUGAACCCCCACACUGGUACUGAGACACGGACCAGACUCCUACGGGAGGCAGCAGUGAGGAAUAUUGGUCAAUGGGCGGAAGCCUGAACCAGCCAUCCCGCGUGGAGGAAGACGGCCCUAUGGGUUGUAAACUUCUUUUCAAGGGGAAGAAAGUUCGCGACGUGUCGCGAUUUGCCGGUACCUUUGGAAUAAGCAUCGGCUAACUCCGUGCCAGCAGCCGCGGUAAUACGGAGGAUGCGAGCGUUAUCCGGAUUUAUUGGGUUUAAAGGGUGCGUAGGCCGGCCGAUAAGUCAGCGGUGAAAUACCAUGGCCCAACCAUGGAACUGCCGUUGAUACUGUCGGUCUUGAAUAUGGUCAAGGUAGGCGGAAUGUGUAAUGUAGCGGUGAAAUGCUUAGAUAUUACACAGAACACCGAUUGCGAAGGCAGCUUACUGGGCCAUUAUUGACGCUGAGGCACGAAAGCGUGGGGAUCGAACAGGAUUAGAUACCCUGUAGUCCACGCCGUAAACAAUGUCACUCGCUUUGGCGAUACACAGUCAGCGGCUAGCGAAAGCCAUUAA
This 637-nucleotide ribosomal RNA is filed under the name uncultured bacterium. RNAcentral's name for it is "bacterial SSU rRNA". It matches the Rfam family "Bacterial small subunit ribosomal RNA", at positions 223 to 864 of the family's 1533-position model. The record is from RNAcentral.